AGCGCAGGCGGGCCGGUUAGUCUAAAGUGGAAUCCCAGGGCUCAACCCUGGACGUGCUUUGGAUACUGCCGGUCUUGAGUUCGUGAGAGGAAAGUGGAAUUCAGGGUGUAGCGGUGAAAUGCUUAGAUAUCCUGAGGAACACCAGUGGCGAAAGCGACUUUCUGGCACGAAACUGACGCUGAGGCUCGAAAGCAUGGGUAAGCGAACG
RNAcentral lists this ribosomal RNA (208 nucleotides) under uncultured bacterium. RNAcentral's name for it is "partial 16S ribosomal RNA". It matches the Rfam family "Bacterial small subunit ribosomal RNA", at positions 568 to 774 of the family's 1533-position model. The record is from RNAcentral.